UACGUAGGUGGCGAGCGUUGUCCGGAUUUACUGGGCGUAAAGAGCGCGCAGGCGGUCGUUCAAGUCGGAUGUGAAAGCCCCCGGCUCAACUGGGGAGGGUCAUUCGAUACUGAUCGACUCGAAGGCAGGAGAGGGAAGCGGAAUUCCCGGUGUAGUGGUGAAAUGCGUAGAUAUCGGGAGGAACACCGGUGGCGAAGGCGGCUUCCUGGCCUGUUCUUGACGCUGAGGCGCGAAAGCUAGGGGAGCAAACGGG
Molecule: ribosomal RNA, 253 nt
Filed under: uncultured bacterium
Lineage: Bacteria
Description: partial 16S ribosomal RNA
Rfam family: Bacterial small subunit ribosomal RNA
Source: RNAcentral